GGUGGUUUUAAUAAGAAAGAGAAAAAAAUUAGAGGGGUGCAGGUGAUUUUAUAAAGAAAGGGAAAAAAAUUAAAAAAAAAUAUUGAUUAAGGUUAAAAUUGAAAUUUUUAGAGAUAUAAAAUGAAAGGUGGGCAUUGAUCCCUCCACCUCCCUAAUUCCACCCUCCACCUCUCUAAUUUUUUUAACUUUUUCUUAAUUACAAAACUAACCUUUUUUUAUAUUUUUUUUGUUACUUUUUUAACCCUUUUAAUUAACUAACCCUAAUUUUUACUUUACUCUUUCACUUUCACACCUUCACAGACUUUCGAAGUUUCGAAGACAGCCCCACCCCCCCUUCCCUUCACAUUCUCACCCCCACACAGACCUUUCAUUUUCUAAAAGUUUUAAACUUUUCCAGUCAUCUCUUCCACUGCUUUGUUAGCUUUUGGUGCGUGCGGUGGUCCAGCGGUUGUGUGCGGGAGUGCGGCACGGUGGUCGUGGCUCUGUAGUUUCGUUUUUGCCUGCGGGUGUGUGAGGCGGUGCAGCGGCAGCGGUGCGGCGGUGCGUCGCGGUGGUUGUUGCUUCGUUUCAUUUCUGCCGCCGUCUACGAGAGGUUAGUUUUCGUUGCGCGUUGAUUUCUUGGUUUGUAAAUGUAUGUGAUUUUGGGUUUAAGAUUGUAUGGAUUUUUGCUCGCGAUUGUUGUUUGUUUUGCUUCGUUUCGUGCUCUGAUGUUUCUGGUUGUGUGUGCGUAGGAGGAAGAAGACAUACCUUAACGAAUGUCGACAUCCGUUGACGGAUAUUCAGAUUCGUUUAAGGGUUUAGGCUAUUUUUAACAGUGAAUUACCAUACCUCUCCGGUGCUCAAGUAUCUCCUUCCACCACCACGUCUUCAACCACCAGGCUACAAACACGAUCAGGGAGAAUGAGAAGAAGAAUUCUGUACAGUUGCAACUUUCUUCCACAAGGCCAACGAAACCCUAAUUCGCACACCAACGAUUCUCACAUAAAAUUCUGUGAAAGAAAAAAGAACACAAAAAGAAUUUGAAAAACCAAUAAUCAAACAGAAAGGAGAGAGAGCAGAAAGGAGAGAGAGCAUAAACGAGAGACAGCAGAACAUGAGAAAAAAGUUACGUUUUUUACUAGAAAAUCUAUAAAUUAAAUUUUACCUAAGGGUAUAAUAGAAAUAUAAAUAAAAAAUAAAAAUAUAAAUAAAAUAAGAAGGAAUAAAAGUGAGAUGGGGAGGUGAAGGUCUAAGAGGGUGGAGGUGCAGGGAUCAACGCCCAUGAAAGGUUGGAGGUGUAGAGUGAAACACCCCGUUUGGACUUGAGCAAGCCGAAAAAGAAGAAAAAGCCUUUUGACAGAGGAGACACCUUGAGAAGAUGAAAUUAAGGUUUGGGCUUGUCCAACCCAUUUCUGACUCCUUGCACCACCUAGUUUCGUUCAACACUUGGGUAUACUUUUAUUUUGCUUUAUGCACCUCCAUAUUCAAUAUCCCCGUACCCUUUAUGUGCUUUAUUGUUGUUUUUGGGUUUGAAUUUAUUUUACUCGAUGCACCU
Molecule: long non-coding RNA, 1534 nt
Filed under: Vigna radiata
Lineage: Eukaryota; Viridiplantae; Streptophyta; Magnoliopsida; Fabales; Fabaceae
Description: long non-coding RNA (VRAD_LNC002316)
Source: RNAcentral